AUGGUAGAGCUAAGAGAGCGUGCAUUGGAAAGUCUGGCCGGGGCCUGUGCGCUACCUAGAAACAAGUCUGCACUGACCAUAAGCAGCAGGUGCGCGAAAGAGCGAGAGACUUUGAAGAAAACAGAAACGACAGGUACCAAACUGAGCAGCCUGCAGAGAGCCACUCUAACAGAAGACCCUACAUGCCGUCUUCCCAACUCAGUUCUGCCUGGACAGGAUUUGUUAGUAGCAAACAAUUUACUCUUUGUGAGCCCUGUAUGAAACAUUUUAAGGAUCUAGCUCCCAAGACAACAAAUUAUCUGGCAUCUAAUCACGGCUACCUGGUUGUAUUGCUGCUGGUCUAUUAAAAUUCCAAAUCAGCUUAUUACUGUCUUUACAUAUAUCUUCAGUGAACAAAAACAAGAAUCCUAACAGCACUGUCUCUUUAAGUCAAUAGCAAAGCUGGAAACCAUCAAAACAAUAAGGCACAAAAACCUGGAGAAUUCAUUUUAAGUUGCUAUCAAAGGAAGCAAAAACAAAAAAUGUGGAGGUCAUUAGAGCAACAACCUCUCUCCUAGUAAAAAAACAAAAUGCCAUGCUUGCAGAAACUGACCAAGACAAAGGAAGAAACUUAUGUCUAUUAAAGAUUUUUCACCCAAGCAGCCAUUUUCAUUUGAUCCUGAGCAUUGUGAGAAAAUCAAGUAGAUUCGAAGCUUCACACCUGUAUGUGCCUAUUUCCAUGAAAGACUUGAAAUAGUUUAAAACAAGACGAUGUGGUAAGAUGAUCUAUCGAGACAAAUCAUUUCUCUAGAAAGAGCUGAGGUUAGAAAAUAAAAGUUUUGGGACACCUGGGUGGCUCAGUGGUUGAGCAUCUGCCUUUAGCUCAGGUUGUGAUCCCCGGAUCCUGGGAUUGAGUCCCACAUCAGGCUCCCCUCAGGGAGCCUGCUUCUCCUUCUGCCUAUGUCUCUGCCUCUCUCUCUGUCUCUCUCAUGAAUAAAUAAAUAAAAUCUUUAAAAAAUAAAAGUUUCUCUCCAAUGGCAUCAUGGGGACCUAUGCUCUGCUUGGAAGCUAUAUUGUCAAUAACAAUAUAGCUAUGAGACGCAUCUGCAGCAACUGACACAGACCACAGACUCCUCGGAGCCCUCCAUGACUCCUGGGAGAGCCGGUCACUUCUGUGGCCCAUCAAAAGAAUCAGAAACCUCCCCCAGUUUUUCAAGAUCAAGCAAGCCUCUGGAGUUCUUGAGUAAUCCAGAGAGAAGAGCCAUAAUAAGGCUGAUAUUCUUCUACUAACCCUGGAGAUUGGAAAGUAACAAUUUGUUCUUAAUCGUUUUUUUUUAAGUGAGAAGCAUGACAUUUUUUAACAACAAUAUUAUGGUUCAUAUCUGUUCAAUAGUAAAAUAGAAACAGACCUAGAAAAUUCAACUCAAAUAAAAAGUUGACAUGAACAUGCCAACUCUAGUGGUCAACUGUCCUGGCCUCUAUGCUGUUUUGAAAUGAUCGGUCUGUGUAGAAUGGUAAGUAGGACUUGUUUUUAAAUGGAAAGUUCCAGAGCAGAUUUAUGACUGACUUGGUUUUAAGUUUUGAGAAAAUAUUGAAUGUGGCCUUCAAACUCCCUAAGUGUAUCUACCUAGAGAGGAUAAAUGCCUCCUGUCAAAUAUAAAGAUCAUAUCCCUUCCUGACCCUUCCAUUAGGAGCCAAGUUCAGGCAGGUACUUGAAAUUUCCCAGCUCCUCCACGAUAGUGACCACUCCCUCUUACCUGUUACUCAACUCCUGCACAGGUUUGGGUAAUGUCAUCAGUAACCCAAAGGCAAACAUUGGACUCUGAUCUUGCAGAGCAAGUGAUUCUUUGAGUUUAUAGAGGGUAGGAAUUUCCACAGGAAAUCCCACGUAGCUUACUCCCCUGGGUGGACCCAGGACCAGUGCAUUCCAGGACUGUUAUUUCCUACAGACCAACCUCAGAUUCCUAGAAGCAACAGCUCUCGAUCCAUCCCAUAUCUGUGAAUGACAGCCACUGCCUGUAUUCCAUUGGUAAAAUAUGAAGUAUGUCUGGAAAAAUGCUCUCUGUCUUGGCUAGGCCACCUCUGUGGCACUGCUUCAAGUUUUGGGGACCACAAUUUAAAAGAGGUGUUGAGUGACUAGAAUAUGCCCAAGGGAUAUAAUCAAAAUUCCCAAAGUAAUGUCCAAUGACAAAUGAUUGAAAAAGGACUAGAGAUGUUUAGCCUGAUAAAGACAGACUGUUUUAUACUCUUGUCAUUACAAUUUUGUAAUAAAAGGUUUGUUUUUGUGUAGGAAAGUCUUAUAUAUAUCUUUUUGGUUGGAUAUAAGAGGCAAGCAGAUUUCAGCUCCAUAUAAGGAAGUACUCUCUUAUAAUUAGAAAUAUACUGCCUUGUCAGAGAUUGGGGUUCCCUCCCUGAAAAAAUUUCCAUUCACCAUCUGUUAGCAAUACUUUAGAAGACUAUUUUGCACUAAAUAAGAGGUCAGACUCCUAACCUCCAAGGUAGCUUGAAAUUCCAGGUUUCUAAUCAUUUAUAAACUUGGUUAGUUCAUAAUAUACUUACAAAAAUACUUUUUUGCAUGAGAAUUCUGAAGCAUUUCUGGAACCAAUAGUUUAUUCUAAAGCAGCUCAAUAAGCCAGAAACACUUGAUUUGAUGCCAGUAGGUAUGAUUCCCAUUACCUUACCGAUGGGGUAGUAGAUAAAACUAUGAAAGCAUAGGCUUCAAUAUUUGACUUAAGUUCCAAUCCCUGCUCACCAUUUGUAGAUUAUUGUGACCUAAGCAAGUAUCUUAAGCUCACUAAACUUUAAUUUCCUCAUCUGUAAAAUAGGAUAAUACUAUUUAGCUACAAGAUUGUUGUAAGGAUUAAAUGGGAUAAUGAAUAUAAAAAGCUUAGCAAAGUCCCUGGCUCAAGGAAACUCAAUAUAGGGCAGCUGUUAUUAUUAGAUAACUCAAAUGCCCCAUACCCCUAUGCCUGAGCAUUGCAGUGUUUGAAGACUUUCUACAUGCAUCCUAGACAUCCACAUAUAGAAGAAGGUGGAUGGGGGAGGGAAAGGACAAAAACUUUUGUAUUAGCCAUGUAUAAAUAAAUACAUCUUAACAUACAUGUCUUUUUUUACUUUGAGAUAACUAUGAAUUCACAGUCAGCUGUAAGAAAUAAUCCAGAAAUAAUAAGAAAUAAUCUCACGUGCUCUUUACACAUUACAUGCCCUUUUAUGUAAUGCUUUUUGUUUUAUAAAAUUAGGCAUUGUGUCAGGUUUUGUCUCCUUCCAACUUACUGACGCAGAGUAGAAAUAAUAAAUGUUGCUGAAAGCACGGAGAACCUGGGAGAACUCCCACCCUUGGGACCAGUGCAGUCACUCUUGAUUUUUCCCUUUAGCUUGACACACUUCACUCCCUGCUGUGGAUUCCUUUCUACGUAAUACCUGUCCACAGCUUUGUAAAAAGCAGAACCCCUGUUCUGGGAGAUUGAACUUGGGAUCUUAGAAAAUGGUGGUGUUGUGGCUCAUUGAGCAAAGGAUGUAGUUUGUGUUUAACAUGGCAAUAUUCCAAUUUAUAUUGAUUAGAUCAAUUAAUAUUCCAGUGCUGAGGUGAGGUAGUAUGUUUUCAUUUGUCCAAAAACAAUUAAUUAAUCUAUAUUGCCUGAGCUCCAGGGGAAAUGUAUCUUAGGAUAUGUCUGGGGUUGCUUUCAAUACAGUUGGAGGCUUUCAUGUGUAAAAUUCUGUAUUUAUCAAUUACAGGCAAUGAGAAAACUUGAAAUUCAUAAGAGAUUUAGUAACUCAAAAGCCAUGAAGAGUACAGUAAGAGCCAAGGAGGGACAAUCUGGGCAUAAUUAGGCAAUACACCAAACCAAAAGUUCCCCAAAUGGCCAAUCAACAGAAUCUCAUGGGAAGCUUUCAAAAAUAUAUAGAUUUCUACACCAAAAUGAACCCAUCCCAACCCCUGAGGGUUCUUAUCCAGGGAGCUGAGGCAAGGCCAGGGAAACAUUUCUCUAAAAACUUCACAGGGAUUCUGGCAGCCAAGGUUGAGCACUACCAUUCUGAGCAGGCAUAUUUCAAGAUGGUGAGUGUGUGCUCAUAUUAGGAAAGAGAAAAUACACUUCUUUCCACCUCCAACUCCAGAAUUUUCUGAUUGCAUUCACUUUAAAAUUAUUUUUUUUUACAACGUAGGUGAUGAAUUUGUUUUUCAAGUUACUUCUUGGACAUUAUCUAGUUGGAAGUAUUAAUAUGCCAAUUUUGUGGAAGAGUAGAACUCUAAUUGAUCACUAAUUUGAUAAAAGAAAAAAUACUGUAACUUACUGCCAGAAUUAACUCACUUGCAGUAAAAAAUCUGACCAAUGCCAACAUCUACCUUACCCAGCAGGUGGUGAUAGAAGAUUUGUGACCAAAGGGGUGCCAGGUGCACUUCUACAAUGAGGAGAUCAAGAGCCCUUCUUGGCUGAGCUGCCUGCACCCUGCCCACUGACAAACUCCUUAGCACCACCACAGAUUCUGCCCCAAGUGCUAUCACUAUUUGUGAAUACUGGAACAUUCCCUAUAAAGACAAUAUAAGGAUUGGGGUCAAAUCUCUGGUAUGGGAGCAUCAACACAUUGUUUAAUUAAAAGCCCAUCUGAGUACGGAGCUAUUACAUGCUGUAGCAAUAAAAUUAAAUAGUGUCACUAUCUGUUCUUUAAUAGCUUACAAGCAUUUUAUAUUCAGAGUUCCCAAGCUAGAAUUUCAAGGAAUAUCCCUUUAGUCUUUGGCUGUGAAAUAAUCUCUGUGCUAUUUUUCCCGUUCUCUUUAUUUCAGUCUAUUUAUAACUAUGCUUAAAUGUUACUCAAAAUGGACAUAAAUGGUGCAUACGCAUAGAAGAACAUUAAGUGCAAGCAAAAAAGCUUAGUCUGUAGGUUGCAAUGUUGAAUAGAGGUGUC
RNAcentral lists this long non-coding RNA (4884 nucleotides) under Canis lupus familiaris (dog). RNAcentral describes it as "lncRNA (ENSCAFG00845027716.1)". Lineage: Eukaryota; Metazoa; Chordata; Mammalia; Carnivora; Canidae. The record is from RNAcentral.